UAGGGAAUCUUCCACAAUGGACGAAAGUCUGAUGGAGCAACGCCGCGUGAGUGAAGAAGGUUUUCGGAUCGUAAAGCUCUGUUGUUGGUGAAGAAGGAUAGAGGCAGUAACUGAGCUUUAUUUGACGGUAAUCAACCAGAAAGUCACGGCUAACUACGUGCCAGCAGCCGCGGUAAUACGUAGGUGGCAAGCGUUGUCCGGAUUUAUUGGGCGUAAAGCGAGCGCAGGCGGAAUGAUAAGUCUGAUGUGAAAGCCCACGGCUCAACCGUGGAACUGCAUCGGAAACUGUCAUUCUUGAGUGCAGAAGAGGAGAGUGGAACUCCAUGUGUAGCGGUGGAAUGCGUAGAUAUAUGGAAGAACACCAGUGGCGAAGGCGGCUCUCUGGUCUGCAACUGACGCUGAGGCUCGAAAGCAUGGGUAGCGAACAGGAUUAGAUACCCUGGUAGUCCAUGCCGUAAACGAUGAGCGCUAGGUGUUGGGGACUUU
This 486-nucleotide ribosomal RNA is filed under the name uncultured bacterium. RNAcentral's name for it is "partial 16S ribosomal RNA". It matches the Rfam family "Bacterial small subunit ribosomal RNA", at positions 355 to 833 of the family's 1533-position model. The record is from RNAcentral.